GACAGAGGGUGCAAACGUUGUUCGGAAUUACUGGGCGUAAAGCGCGUGUAGGCGGCUUGGUAAGUUGGGUGUGAAAUCCCAGGGCUCAACCCUGGAAGUGCAUUCAAAACUGCUCGGCUAGAGUUCUGGAGAGGAAGGUGGAAUGCUUGGUGUAGAGGUGAAAUUCGUAGAUAUCAAGCGGAACACCGGUGGCGAAGGCGGCCUUCUGGACAGAAACUGACGCUGAGACGCGAAAGCGUGGGGAGCAAACAGGAUUAGAUACCCUGGUAGUCCACGCCGUAAACGAUGAGUGCUGGAUGUCAGGAGCUUUGACCCUCCUGGUGUCGUAGCUAACGCGAUAAGCACUCCGCCUGGGGAGUACGGCCGCAAGGCUAAA
Molecule: ribosomal RNA, 376 nt
Filed under: uncultured bacterium
Lineage: Bacteria
Description: bacterial SSU rRNA
Rfam family: Bacterial small subunit ribosomal RNA
Source: RNAcentral